This 751-nucleotide ribosomal RNA is filed under the name uncultured archaeon. RNAcentral's name for it is "bacterial SSU rRNA". It matches the Rfam family "Archaeal small subunit ribosomal RNA", at positions 92 to 849 of the family's 1478-position model. The record is from RNAcentral.
AGUAACACGUCGAUAAUCUGCCCUUAGGUUAGGAAUACCCACGGAAAACUGUGGCUAAUACCUGAUAUUGAAAGAGUUCUGGAAUGAAUCUUUCGCUAAACGCAAGGCCUAAGGAUGAGUCGGCGGCGGAUUAGGCAGUUGGCGGUGUAACGGACCACCAAACCUAAGAUCCGUAGGGGCCCUGAAAGGGGUAGCCCCGAGAGGGACACUGAAAUACUGGUCCCAGCUCCACGGAGUGCAGCAGGCGCGUAACCUCCACAAUGCGCGAAAGCGUGAUGGGGGGAUCCUGAGUGCUUACAUUUUUUGUAAGCUUUUGUCAAGAGUAAAUAUCUUGGAGAAUAAGUGGUGGGUAAGACCGGUGCCAGCAGCCGCGGUAACCCCGGCGCCACGAGUGGCAAUCUUGUAUUUGGCCUAAAGCAUUCGUAGCCGGCUUAAUAAAUCCUUUGUGAAAUCGUUGAACUCAAUACAACGGCGUGCAGGGGACACUGUUAAGCUUGAGACUGGGAGGAGUUGGGGGUAUUUUUAGGGGAACGGUUAAAUGUGAUAAUCCUAGAAAGACCACCUGUGGCGAAGGCGCCCAACUAGAACAGUUCUGACGGUGAGGGAUGAAAGCUAGGGGAGCGAUCCGGAUUAGAUACCCGAGUAGUCCUAGCUGUAAACUCUGCGAGCUAGGUGUCGCAUAUUCUACGAGAAUGUGCGGUGUCGAAACGAAGGUGAUAAGCUCGCCGCCUGGGAAGUACGGUCGCAAGAC